AGAGUUCCCACCUCUGCAGUAGAGGAAGACACUCCAGAAGGAGUUGAGAAUGGGUGCUGAGUGCCUCUUCAGGAUGUCUGUCACACCUCAGGAAACCUGCCAGGAAUACCAAAGGGAGUGAAAAAUCCAAGGAAUACUUGUCAUUGAAAUUAGGGCCCACCUGGCUAAUCCAUGAUGAUCUCAUCUCAAGAUCCUUAACUUAAUGACAUCUGCAGAGACUGGUUUAUCAAAUAAGGGACUGUGGCUAUAUCGCUGACCUCAAGAAAACCUGCGGACAAAAUCUGCUAAAGAAGUAUCAGCAUCUAUUUCAAAAGUUAGCCAUUAUUUUAAGAAGACUGUGCUGGAAGACGGGUAUUUAACACAAACAGAUGCAAAAGAUACGGGGUUUCACCGUGUUGACCAGACUGAUUUUGAACUCCUGGGCUCAAUCGGUCCACCUGCCUCGGCCUCCCAAAGUGCUGAGAUUAUAGGUGUGAGCCCCUGCGCCUGGCCAGGGAUGCCGUUCUUCACUCUCCAAUUGAGCAGCCAUUAUAUAUCAGGCACUAUAGGAGUUCCUGGAGGAUACUGGUCUGAAGUUAGCAUGAUCUUGACUCAAGAAACUUAUAGUCCUGAUAAGAACUUCCACCAGAAUUCCAGAUAAGGCAGCACAGGCCUUGCUGUUUGCCCAUGCCCAUGCGGUCAGCUCUCUUGGGUACCGUGGCAUGCAGAUGCAGACACUCACCCA
RNAcentral lists this long non-coding RNA (724 nucleotides) under Pan troglodytes (chimpanzee). Its description in RNAcentral is "lincRNA". Lineage: Eukaryota; Metazoa; Chordata; Mammalia; Primates; Hominidae. The record is from RNAcentral.